RNAcentral lists this long non-coding RNA (979 nucleotides) under Struthio camelus australis. Its description in RNAcentral is "lncRNA (ENSSCUG00000003978.1)". Lineage: Eukaryota; Metazoa; Chordata; Aves; Struthioniformes; Struthionidae. The record is from RNAcentral.
CCUAGGAAGGCAUAAGGAAAAUGUCAGGGGGGGGAAAAAAAACUAGAUGGGCAAGACCUGAAAUAAGUGUAAGCCUACAGUGCUAGGUCAUUGUACUGUGAUUAAAAUGAGGACAGAAGGGGUAUUCUGGAGAAAAGCAGGAGGUUAGAGCAGAGGAACAUGAUAUCAGUGCAGUUUUUGUGAAAGAACUUCCAGUUGUCAUAGAAAUGCAAAAAUUGUGUUGCAUGUGACUGACAAUUGUCACCUUUUGUUUUCCAGAUUUGGCACAGAGGAACAGUUUUAUCUUCACUCUGUGCAGCAUUCAGUAACUGUCCUGGUCUGUGAUCCCAGUGGGCUGUUGACCAACACACAGUAUUCUUGCAAUCCAAAUGCAGCACUGAACCAAGUCUUCCUUUAAAUAAUCCUGCUUCCAGCUGGUUACAUUGUUCACCCAAAUCUGUGUUGUGCAUUAUUCCAGGGAAGGGAAGAGAUCCGAUAGUACAGCCUGCCUCACUGCUCCAGACGGUAACUGGUCCUUGGCAUUGCAGAGUAAACGUGUGGGAUACAGGACUCUACUCAGCUUGGAACCCUUGGAACUGCAGCCCAACAGAAAACUCCCAUCUCAGAUUUGGCCAGGAUGACUUCAAGUCCUUGAAAGCAGGUGCAAGGAAUGCUUUCCAGCAGCCCUACUCAAUUCCUCUCAGGAGGGGCAUGCUUGGUGCACCCAUCACAGCCCCUGGAUCCUCAGUGGACAUGGCCAGGCCCUCAAUAUGCAUUCAGAGGCAUUUGUCUGAGUUUGCACAGUUGAAUGGUGUGGAGGACAGAGCCAUGGUGGGGAAAAGAAUGAAGAACAAUUAGAAGAUGUGAUAUCCAGGGAGCAGCAUGGGAAAUUCAGCCAGAGCUGAAGGUAAGAAGUGGAGGCAGGAAUUCAGGAAUUCCUCUGAGUCUGCAGCAUGGGAGGAGAUUGUUUUGCUUUAUAUGAACUAUGAGUGCACUUUUG